CCUCUGGAUUGAUCGUCCAUGGUUCGAAGCCCUUCACUGAAAUCGAAUAUCAAUUUCGAUGUGUUUUUCGGCGAAAUUUGCCGGCGGAACGGGGUUUCGGUUCGGAUUUCUUCCGGCGUUGUGAGUUUUGUCGCUGAGCCUUGUCGGCUGGUCACUAUCGUUAUAUCGAGAGUUCGGAGAUGACGGGUGAGCGACGAUGGGUUCCGGUGUCGACAUUGACACUUCCGGAAAUCCGGAUCCGAAUAAUUAUCCGGCGAUAGUUGUUUUGUUGUGUGA
This 276-nucleotide long non-coding RNA is filed under the name Ananas comosus (pineapple). Its description in RNAcentral is "long non-coding RNA (ACOM_LNC012301)". The record is from RNAcentral. Lineage: Eukaryota; Viridiplantae; Streptophyta; Magnoliopsida; Poales; Bromeliaceae.